UACGUAGGGGGCGAGCGUUGUUCGGAUUUACUGGGCGUAAAGGGCGUGCAGGCGGUCUGUUAAGUCUAGGGUGAAAGCUCCCGGCUCAACUGGGAGAGGUCCUUGGAUACUGGCGGACUUGAGGGAGGCAGAGGAGAAUAGAAUUCCCGGUGUAGUGGUGAUAUGCGUAGAUAUCGGGAGGAAUACCAGUGGCGAAGGCGGUUCUCUGGGCCUUACCUGACGCUGAGACGCGAAAGCGUGGGGAGCGAACCGG
RNAcentral lists this ribosomal RNA (253 nucleotides) under uncultured bacterium. Its description in RNAcentral is "partial 16S ribosomal RNA". It matches the Rfam family "Bacterial small subunit ribosomal RNA", at positions 524 to 776 of the family's 1533-position model. The record is from RNAcentral.